GAAUGUGUAAAAUAACCUUGUUGUAAUGUGCUAUCCUGCAUUAAAAUGCCAGGCUGAUGUUUCAUUGUUUUCUUUUUUGUUUUGUUUUCCCCAUGUCAUAUUAGUGGUCUGUAUGUGUGGCUGUCCUUUACUGCCAUACAGUCAUUACAGAAUGCAGUCACCAAAUAUAAAACCAGUUAUCUGAGUGUACCAGCAGGAAGUGAGGUAGAAAGCAGGAACAGGCUGGUGCAGAGGGAUCCUGGAGGCCAUGCUGAAACAUCAGUAAAAGUGCAGUCAGCAGUGUUGCGUAACAGGACUCCUGCGGCCCGAGGACUCUGUCAGACACAUCAGAAGAGCCCCAUACACGGUGAAAUGCUCAACAAAUGUAUAAUUAAUCAAAAUAUGAAUAAAUAAAGGAUGUCUAGGGCGCAGAACAAAAAAAAGAAGAAGAGGAAAGUAUGCCAUUUAAAAGGUAAAACUUGAUAUAUUCUGCCUUCUGCAUUUCUUAUUCACAAAAUAAUGCGAUAUCAUUUUACAGUUCUCUUGGAAGACAGUCUUGUUAUUUUUUUAAUGCCUGCUUAAUUUCAGACCCUAGGUUUGUCCUCGUCUGAAACGUGAGGGCAUCUGAUCUCAGCUGACAUGGGAAGAGAGUGCUGGUUUUGAUGCUGAUAGAAGCUGAAGUUGGAGACAUAUAAGAGGCUCUGAGAGUCCCUCACGUGACAGAGGAAUGUCACAGCUGCGUGAGCCGUGUUUGUAUUAUUUAAUCAGCCCACAAAACCUCAAGCUCCCGCUCUUUCCAAUUCCUCUCUCUUUACGAAAAAGGGCUUGAGUUCUAAAAGUCAUACAGCACCUACAAGCUGAUAAAAGUCCUUUUAAAUUUAGAAUAUUAGAUUAUUUACAUGUUAUAUUCAUGCCACAAUUAGAUUUUCCAUAAGGUUACAUUAUUCAUCACUCAUGUGUUAGUUGUCAACCGAUAUCUUGCAUUGCAAACAAGUCAGUCAAACUGUUAGACCUUUAGGGGCCGUUCACACAGAACAUCUUUGCAUUUAAAAACGUGAAAAGCAGGGCAGUGGAAGGAACAAAAUCACAAGGUUUCGAGAUGUGUUUUUUUAAAUGCUGAAAUCCCUUGAAAUGUAACUUUUGAUUUAUAAUGCUGUGCCAUGAGCAAUACACUGCAAAAGACGUGAAAAGAUCUAAAACCAACUAGCGCAUGUUUACAUAGAAAAACUAAGGAAAAUUAGCAGUGUGGGAUAAAAAAAAAAAAAACUUGUUCGGUGUGAACAGCCCUUUAGAGAGUUCAUUGGCUGUUAAACAAUCAAAAGACUCUUAGUUCUAAUACAAAUUAUGUGUAUAGAAUUUAAAUGAAUUCAUAUAACACACUUUGACACUUUCAAAACAUUACUCUAUUUCUUUCAUAUUAUCCCGACCAGCUUGAUGGCCUGUUGACGCCAAGAUGAAUGUUUGGAGGGAAAAUUCAGUGAUAUAAUCCACAAGUAAUCCACACAACUUAACGUCUUGUGAAGCAAAAAGCUGUGUGUUUGUAAGAAACAAAUCUAUCUUUAAGGCAUUUUAACUUCUAGCCAAAAUAUGAGUCCAUAAUAAUGCUUUCUCCAGUGAAAAAAAUCCAUCCCGUUGUCCUCUCACAUCACUAUUUUGGACUGUAAACAGUUUGAUCUGUGCAUAUUUCUCUCCUGAUUCAGGCAAGACGACUUUUUCAUUGGCGAAAACAAUAUUAUGAAUGGAGGACUCGUAUUUUAGAAGGAAGAAAGCAUCUGAUUCUUUUGUUUCUUACAGAGCUUUUCACUUCACAAGACAUUAACUGAGGGACUGGAGUGUUGUGGAUUACUGUGAUGUUUCUAUCAGCUGUUUGGACUCUCAUUCUGACGGCACCCAUUCACUGCAGAGGAUCCAUUGGCGAGCAAGUGAUGUAAUGCUGAAUUUCUCCUAAUCUGUUCCCACAAAGAAACAAACUCAUCUACAUCUUGGAUGGUCUGAGGGUGAGUACAUUUUCAGCAAAUAUACAUUUUUGGGUGA
RNAcentral lists this long non-coding RNA (2013 nucleotides) under Sinocyclocheilus grahami. RNAcentral's name for it is "lncRNA (ENSSGRG00000015081.1)". The record is from RNAcentral. Lineage: Eukaryota; Metazoa; Chordata; Actinopteri; Cypriniformes; Cyprinidae.